UACGGAAGGCAGCAGUGGGGAAUAUUGCACAAUGGGCGAAAGCCUGAUGCAGCUAUGCCGCGUGUAUGAAGAAGGCCUUAGGGUUGUAAAGUACUUUCAUCGGGGAGGAAAAACAAAACUAAUAAUUUUAUUUCUUGACGUUACCCGAAAAAGAAGCACCGGCUAACUCCGUGCCAGCAGCCGCGGUAAUACGGAGGGUGCUAGCGUUAAUCAGAAUUACUGGGCGUAAAGAGCACGUAGGUGGUUUUUUUAAAGUCAGAUGUGAAAUCCCUGGGCUUAACCUGGAACUGCAUUUUGAAACUGAAAUACUAGAGUAUCGUAGAGGGAGGUAGAAUUCUAGGUGUAGCGGUGAAAUGCGUAGAUAUCUGGAGGAAUACCUGUGGCGAAAGCGGCCUCCUAAACGAAUACUGACACUGAGGUGCGAAAGCGUGGGGAGCAAACAGGGAUUAGAUACC
This 455-nucleotide ribosomal RNA is filed under the name uncultured bacterium. Its description in RNAcentral is "bacterial SSU rRNA". It matches the Rfam family "Bacterial small subunit ribosomal RNA", at positions 340 to 786 of the family's 1533-position model. The record is from RNAcentral.